This 433-nucleotide ribosomal RNA is filed under the name uncultured bacterium. RNAcentral's name for it is "bacterial SSU rRNA". It matches the Rfam family "Bacterial small subunit ribosomal RNA", at positions 1 to 441 of the family's 1533-position model. The record is from RNAcentral.
UGAGUUUGAUCCUGGCUCAGGAUAAACGCUGGCGGCGUGCCUUACGCAUGCAAGUCGAACGAAGCUCCUCCCUUCGGGGCGGAUGACUGAGUGGCAAACGGCUGAGUAACGCGUAGGUGACCUGCCCCAAGGUGGGGAACAACCCGUCGAAAGGCGAGCUAAUACCCCAUGUGCCCGCGGGAUCGGCCCUGCGGGGAAAGCUCCGGCGCCUUGGGAGGGGCCUGCGUCCGAUUAGUUUGUUGGUGGGGUAAUGGCCUACCAAGACGACCAUCGGUAGCUGGUCUGAGAGGAUGAUCAGCCAGACUGGGACUGAGAAACGGCCCAGACUCCUACGGGAGGCAGCAGCGAGGAAUCUUGCGCAAUGGGCGAAAGCCUGACGCAGCAACGCCGCGUUGGGUGAAGAAGGCCCUCGGGUCGUAAAGCCCUUUUGCCG